This 490-nucleotide ribosomal RNA is filed under the name uncultured bacterium. RNAcentral describes it as "bacterial SSU rRNA". It matches the Rfam family "Bacterial small subunit ribosomal RNA", at positions 30 to 511 of the family's 1533-position model. The record is from RNAcentral.
AUUGAACGCUGGCGGCAGGCCUAACACAUGCAAGUCGAGCGGUAGAGAGGUGCUUGCAUCUCUUGAGAGCGGCGGACGGGUGAGUAAUGCCUAGGAAUCUGCCUAGUGGUGGGGGAUAACGUUCGGAAACGGACGCUAAUACCGCAUACGUCCUACGGGAGAAAGCGGGGGAUCUUCGGACCUCGCGCCAUUAGAUGAGCCUAGGUCGGAUUAGCUAGUUGGUGAGGUAAUGGCUCACCAAGGCGACGAUCCGUAACUGGUCUGAGAGGAUGAUCAGUCACACUGGAACUGAGACACGGUCCAGACUCCUACGGGAGGCAGCAGUGGGGAAUAUUGGACAAUGGGCGAAAGACCUGAUCCAGCCAUGCCGCGUGUGUGAAGAAGGUCUUCGGAUUGUAAAGCACUUUAAGUUGGGAGGAAGGGUAGUAACCUAAUACGUUGCUACUUUGACGUUACCGACAGAAUAAGCACCGGCUAACUUCGUGACCAG